Molecule: ribosomal RNA, 486 nt
Filed under: uncultured bacterium
Lineage: Bacteria
Description: partial 16S ribosomal RNA
Rfam family: Bacterial small subunit ribosomal RNA
Source: RNAcentral
AUUGAACGCUGGCGGCAUGCCUUACACAUGCAAGUCGAACGGCAGCACGGGUGCUUGCCCCUGGUGGCGAGUGGCGAACGGGUGAGUAAUACAUCGGAACAUGUCCUGUAGUGGGGGAUAGCCCGGCGAAAGCCGGAUUAAUACCGCAUACGAUCUACGGAUGAAAGCGGGGGACCUUCGGGCCUCGCGCUUUAGGGUUGGCCGAUGGCUGAUUAGCUAGUUGGUGGGGUAAAGGCCUACCAAGGCGACGAUCAGUAGCUGGUCUGAGAGGACGAUCAGCCACACUGGGACUGAGACACGGUCCAGACUCCUACGGGAGGCAGCAGUGGGGAAUUUUGGACAAUGGGCGAAAGCCUGAUCCAGCAAUGCCGCGUGUGUGAAGAAGGCCUUCGGGUUGUAAAGCACUUUUGUCCGGAAAGAAAUCCUUGGCCCUAAUACGGUCGGGGGAUGACGGUACCGGAAGAAUAAGCACCGGCUAACUACGUG